This is a long non-coding RNA of Esox lucius (northern pike), 2559 nucleotides long. The record is from Ensembl. NCBI's taxonomy places the organism in Eukaryota, Metazoa, Chordata, Actinopteri, Esociformes, Esocidae.
UAAAAUGUGGUUAAACUUGGGUCUCAUCAGCUUUACAAUAUAGUCUUUAAUAAUAUCUAUAUUUAAUAUUAGUCUAGUUAUAGCUAUUAAAAUGAUGUAUUGGUCAUAUUAUAACAAAUGUAACAUUUUAUUUCAGCAAGAAAUUGAUAGAUUAAAGCUGAGGCAGAAAGUCAUUAAGAAUCAGAGACCACGUCUAGCUUGGAACGACAAACCGAUUGAGACAAAGCGAGAGGAGACAGAGAUAAAAGCAGGAUUAGAGAGACAAGGAAUAAAUGAGAAAGCAAAACAGGAUGAGGAAACGAUAAAAGCACUGACACAAGAGAUUGAGAGAUUGAGAAAGAUUAAGCCAGAAAUGUCUUAUAAAAAAGAUGAAGACAUUUGUAAUCUAGAAAGCGAGAGAGUUAAACUGGUCAACAAAAAGGUACAAGAUUUGGAGAGAGAUGUUGAGAGACUGAAAGAAAUUGAACAGGAUAGGUCAUUUAAAGGAGAAAGAACAAUGCAUAUUGCAAAAAUCGAAGACGUUCAACUAGUCAACAAACAGCUAAAUGACUUGAAGAGUGAGGUUGAAAUAUUGAAACAGAAGCAGUUAUUUCAAAAGCAAAGAUCCAUGCAUAUUGCAGAGAGUGAGGGAGUUAAACUGUUCACCAAACAGCUAAACGACUUGAAGAGAGAGGUUAACAAUUUGAAAGAAGACAUGACAAGUAAAGAAAUUCUAUAUGAAAGAAGAUUUGAAGUUGCAAAAAAAGCGCAUAAAAGACAGAAUGAAAGAAUUAAACAAGUUAACCAACAUUUAUUACAACUAGAGAAAGAAAUAGUGAUAAUUAAAGAAGCGAUUGGAUUGAAUAACUGCCCUAAAGCAACCAUGCGGUUCAAAGGCGAAAUGAUACAGGUAAGUGGGGAAGGGGGUGGACAGAACCAACUGGACAUGAAGGAGGAGGAAACAGAGAGUGAGAAUGACGUACAAAAAGAGAAAAAACGAAUGAGACUUGAGAUGGGACCAAAAGAGACUGAAAUAAUAAAUGCAAGACGGAGAGAGUAUUACAUGUCAAUCUACAGGGAAAGACUGAAACAGAGUAAGAAUAGAGAGAUGCUAAAGAUUGCAAGAGAGAAGAGAGAGCGAGAGAAAGAGAUGGAGGAGGAAAGAGAGAGACAGAAAAUGAAGACAGAGGAGAGACAAAAAGAGAGGGCAAGAGAGGAAAGAGAGCAGGAGAAAGAGAUACAGAGAGAGAAGGAAAGAGCCAGACAGAAGGAGAUGGAGACAGGAAGAGAGAGACAAAAGGAAAUCAGGGAGAUGGAAAGAGAGAGACAGAGAGAGAAAGAGAAUGAGUGUGAAAAGAUUGGGAAAGAGAUUGAGGAAGCGGAGGACAGAAGGUCCAAAGUAAAUAUGAAUGAUAUAUUAACUAUAAUCAAAUCAAAAGGACUGCAACAGCAUCAAAGGCGGAGAGAAAAGUGCCUACAAAGUUUCAAGGUGGAUCAAGAACAGAGAGAACAGAAAGAACAGAGAGAAAAGAAAGAACAGAGAGAACAGAAAGAACAGAGAGAACAAAAAGAACAGAAAGAACAGAGAGAACAGAAAGAACAGAGAGAACAGAAAGAACAGAGAGAACAGAAAGAACAGAGAGAACAAAAAGAACAGAGAGAACAGAAAGAACAGAAAGAACAGAGCGAAAGAGAAAAACUCAUGAGGGAGAAAGAGGAAAGACUUCAGGAGAUGAAAGGGAAUCAGGAAUGGUUAAGACAGCAAAAAGAGCUGAAUAUACAGAGAGAGAGAGAACACGCCAGCUACAUCGCUUCAGCCAGAGUAAAACAGAAAAGAAUUGAGGACCCUGCCCCUUCCAAUAAGAGUCUUAUUAGGAGAGCUUUUCGCUGGAUGCGUAGGAUGUUUGGACUGAAGAACCUCCGAAAGAAGCUGGUAAAAAAUUAAAGGAAGCCCUUGUUAGUCAUGGAAGCCAUUUAGAGGUCAGUAAUCUUUAUUUACACUGUUUGUCACGCCCCCUUCCCCGUGACUCUUGUUUGUUCAAUGUACAUGUUGUUUCCGUCGUUGUUUGUUGGUAUGUUUGCCCGGUGCGUCUGUUCCAUGUCUGUCCUGGUGUUGUGUUCUGGUUGUCCGGGCAACGAGGCGGGGGCGGGGUGUUCCCCACCUGACAGUCAUUAUCCACUCUCGCACCUGUUCCUGAUCUGCAAUCCACCACAGCAUUUAGAAGAGUGUAGUAUUUGUGGAGAUAUAAUAACACACGCAGACACAGAGCCAAGACAAACCCGACAACUGCAUGCACCUGUUUGUCACCCUGGACCUCGGAGCCACCCUGCACCUAGAUUCCACGCCAACCCAUAGCCACUCGGCCCACCCCCCUGACACUGUUGUUAUACGUACGGCAGCUUUUGAAUUUUAUUUUAGGUCCAAAUGUGAUGAGGUUAGGUACUACUGAGUGUAACACAUUUGUAAAAGUUGAAAUACUAAUUACAUUCUUUCCUUUUUUUUGUGUUAUGUUGUGUUGUGUUGUUUUUUGGGAAAUACUGACCCAAUACUUUCCUGUUUCUGUGCUUUUCCUGUUACAG